CCCAGACUCCUACGGGAGGCAGCAGUGGGGAAUAUUGCACAAUGGGGGAAACCCUGAUGCAGCGACGCCGCGUGAAGGAAGAAGUAUUUCGGUAUGUAAACUUCUAUCAGCAGGGAAGAAAAUGACGGUACCUGACUAAGAAGCCCCGGCUAACUACGUGCCAGCAGCCGCGGUAAUACGUAGGGGGCAAGCGUUAUCCGGAUUUACUGGGUGUAAAGGGAGCGUAGGCGGUUUAGCAAGUCAGAAGUGAGAGCCCGGGGCUCAACUCCGGGACUGCUUUUGAAACUGUCAAACUAGAGUACGGGAGAGGUAAGAGGAAUUCCUAGUGUAGCGGUGAAAUGCGUAGAUAUUAGGAGGAACACCAGUGGCGAAGGCGUCUUACUGGACCGAAACUGACGUUGAGGCUCGAAAGCGUGGGGAGCAAACAGGAUUAGAUACCCUUGUA
This 445-nucleotide ribosomal RNA is filed under the name uncultured bacterium. Its description in RNAcentral is "partial 16S ribosomal RNA". It matches the Rfam family "Bacterial small subunit ribosomal RNA", at positions 330 to 792 of the family's 1533-position model. The record is from RNAcentral.